UACAGAGGGGGCAAGCGUUAUUCGGAAUUAUUGGGCGUAAAGGGCGCGUAGGCGGCCUGACAAGUGGAAGGUGAAAUCCCUCGGCUUAACCGAGGAACUGCCCUCCAAACUGUUUGGCUUGAGACCGGGAGAGGUGAGUGGAAUUCCCAGUGUAGCGGUGAAAUGCGUAGAUAUUGGGAGGAACACCAGUGGCGAAGGCGGCUCACUGGACCGGUACUGACGCUGAGGCGCGAAGGCCAGGGGAGCAAACAGG
Molecule: ribosomal RNA, 253 nt
Filed under: uncultured bacterium
Lineage: Bacteria
Description: partial 16S ribosomal RNA
Rfam family: Bacterial small subunit ribosomal RNA
Source: RNAcentral